AAGAUGGCUGUUAGUAAAAUACGUCGGUGUACUAUGCUUGGUACUACGAGAUGGCUUGUUCGUUCUUUUCCAGUUUUUUAAUAGACUAUCCGCCCGCAACAACGCUUAAUUAUCUGGUCGCUAAUCUUCUCAUGAUGGCUGCCAUGCCCCGCGGUGUAAUGCAAUACCAGGCAUCAAAUAUCAACUGCCAAAUAAUCCAAUCCAAUGAGCGCCCAACACACAGCGACUCGAGCAACAACCAUCACAACCCAAUAAAGAAAAGAGAUCAACGGCAUUUAUGUACCCGGUUCAUUGUAGAGCAACACGGCCGAUUAGCAUGACAGCAAUGAAAACAAAAGCAUUUACAUAAAUAAUAUAACAAUGGGACUAUGCUCCCGACACCAGAGCCGUUGUCCGUCGCACUGUCGGACGAGCAUUCGCCAGGAAGAACUCCCCGCUGUGAUAGCGCCAGAUAAUGACACGCUAUUAUGGGGGCCAAUUGCUGAUUUUAUUACUUCCUGCAUGAAGCUAACUAAUAAUCAGAGACUCACACUUCAACUGCUGUCAGUAGAGCCAUAUGUCAGUACGCAGCCCGCUUAUGUGUUGUUUCAUGCAAGUCAGUUAGCUCCUCUUGAUCUGCGGGAGUGAAAAAUGAUACUACUAAUAUUAAAGCAAACCCUUUCAUCAACGAACGAACUUCUUACACGAUUAAGAGAAACAUAAAGAAAUAGUAAAUUCAAAAUGAAUAUACUAUAACUUCUUAUUAUUAAUCAGGUUUCUAACAACUCCAUACUCAUCCGAGCCCUUUUAUACUUCGUAUAAGAAGAUACCGAGUGACUCGAUAGACUUCAAAAAAACAGCUCUCGUACUCCCAGUCCGCUACAUUAGAUUGUUCGUAGAAACUGAUUAGAGGACAAUCUUGACGUUGCCAACUUCAGUGUGGGCGAAGACUUCU
RNAcentral lists this small RNA (934 nucleotides) under Cryptococcus neoformans H99. Its description in RNAcentral is "Cryptococcus neoformans var. grubii H99 hypothetical RNA". The record is from RNAcentral. Lineage: Eukaryota; Fungi; Basidiomycota; Tremellomycetes; Tremellales; Cryptococcaceae.